AGUGAACGCUGGCGGUAGGCCUAACACAUGCAAGUCGAACGGCAGCACAGUAAGAGCUUGCUCUUACGGGUGGCGAGUGGCGGACGGGUGAGGAAUACAUCGGAAUCUACUUUUUCGUGGGGGAUAACGUAGGGAAAAUUACGCUAAUACCGCAUACGACCUACGGGUGAAAGCAGGGGAUCUUCGGACCUUGCGCGAUUGAAUGAGCCGAUGUCGGAUUAGCUAGUUGGCGGGGUAAAGGCCCACCAAGGCGACGAUCCGUAGCUGGUCUGAGAGGAUGAUCAGCCACACUGGAACUGAGACACGGUCCAGACUCCUACGGGAGGCAGCAGUGGGGAAUAUUGGACAAUGGGCGCAAGCCUGAUCCAGCCAUACCGCGUGGGUGAAGAAGGCCUUCGGGUUGUAAAGCCCUUUUGUUUGGAAAGAAAAGCAGCAGGUUAAUACCCCGCUGUUCUGACGGUACCCAAAGAAUAAGCACCGGCUAACUUCGUG
RNAcentral lists this ribosomal RNA (492 nucleotides) under uncultured bacterium. RNAcentral describes it as "partial 16S ribosomal RNA". It matches the Rfam family "Bacterial small subunit ribosomal RNA", at positions 29 to 507 of the family's 1533-position model. The record is from RNAcentral.